ACUUUUAAAGGAUAACAGUUAAUCCACUGGUCUUAGGA
Molecule: transfer RNA, 38 nt
Filed under: Panterpe insignis
Lineage: Eukaryota; Metazoa; Chordata; Aves; Apodiformes; Trochilidae
Also listed under: 1 other name
Description: tRNA-Leu
Source: RNAcentral